GAGUUUAGGUUAGACAAACCCGGGGCCUUCAAAGCCCCAAACAGAAGCACCCCCUCCUAACUCCU
RNAcentral lists this transfer RNA (65 nucleotides) under Cyrtodactylus chrysopylos. RNAcentral describes it as "tRNA-Trp". The record is from RNAcentral. Lineage: Eukaryota; Metazoa; Chordata; Lepidosauria; Squamata; Gekkonidae. RNAcentral also lists the same sequence under 1 other name.